Molecule: small nuclear RNA, 164 nt
Organism: Jaculus jaculus (lesser Egyptian jerboa)
Lineage: Eukaryota; Metazoa; Chordata; Mammalia; Rodentia; Dipodidae
Gene: U1
Rfam family: U1 spliceosomal RNA
About the family: U1 is a small nuclear RNA (snRNA) component of the spliceosome (involved in pre-mRNA splicing). Its 5' end forms complementary base pairs with the 5' splice junction, thus defining the 5' donor site of an intron. There are significant differences in sequence and secondary structure between metazoan and yeast U1 snRNAs, the latter being much longer (568 nucleotides as compared to 164 nucleotides in human).
Source: Ensembl
AUACUUACCUGGCAGGGCAGAUACCAUGAUCAGGAAGGUGGUUUUCCCAGGGCGAGGCUUAUCCAUUGCACUCCGGGUGUGCUGACCCCUGCGAUUUCCCCAAAUGCGGGAAACUCGACUGCAUAAUUUGUGGUAGUGAGGGACUGCGUUCGUGCUCUCCCCUG